AUUGAACGCUGGCGGCAUGCCUUACACAUGCAAGUCGAACGGUAACGGGCCUUCGGGUGCCGACGAGUGGCGAACGGGCGGGUAAUACAUCGGAACGUGCCCGAUCGUGGGGGAUAACGAGGCGAAAGCUGUGCUAAUACCGCAUACGAUCUACGCAUGGAAGCAGGGGACCGCAAGGCCUUGCGCGGACGGAGCGGCCGAUGGCCGAUUAGGUAGUUGGUGGGAUAAAGGCUUACCAAGCCGACGAUCUGUAGCUGGUCUGAGAGGAUGAUCAGCCACACUGGGACUGAGACACGGCCCAGACUCCUACGGGAGGCAGCAGUGGGGAAUUUUGGACAAUGGGCGCAAGCCUGAUCCAGCCAUGCCGCGUGCAGGAUGAAGGCCUUCGGGUUGUAAACUGCUUUUGUACGGAACGAAAAGCCUUCUUUUAAUACAGGAGGGUCAUGACGGUACCGGAAGAAUAAGCACCGGCUAACUACGUG
Molecule: ribosomal RNA, 482 nt
Filed under: uncultured bacterium
Lineage: Bacteria
Description: partial 16S ribosomal RNA
Rfam family: Bacterial small subunit ribosomal RNA
Source: RNAcentral